Molecule: long non-coding RNA, 883 nt
Filed under: Homo sapiens (human)
Lineage: Eukaryota; Metazoa; Chordata; Mammalia; Primates; Hominidae
Description: HSALNT0033231
Source: RNAcentral
AGGAGUUGGGACUACAGCAGGAGCAAAGCAAACCUCAAACCUCAAAAUUGAAUACCACUUUGAGCCACAAGAAGCUGGACUUUUCUAACUCUGAUUCGAAAUUUAAUGUUCUGUUGAUGGCAGACAUCUAAAUUGUUGUCUGAUUCCUUUAACCAGCCACCUCACCUACCAACCAGAAAGCUUCAUUUUCUAAUGAAGCUUUUCUUAGGGAUCCAUCAACUAUGUUAAAUCAACAUUCAGUGAUUUAUAAAUGAAUGAAACACAUACAGAUUAGCUGUUCUUCUGAAAACACACUGGAGGUACAACACUGGCAAAAAUAUUCUUGAUUUAGUGUUGUUAAGGGCACUAGAAACACAGAUUGUCAUAUCUAAAGAUGGGACAUUUCUAGAUGCACUGCCAUAUAACUGGCACAAUUGUGUUAAAUGCCAUUAGUCCCCCUUGUUCUUUUGAUGGAAUGUGGAAAUGAUACUAGUUUCUGUGUAUUUUCAUCACAUUUCCAAAGACGAGCAUUUGACCAUCUUCUUUUGUAGUAACCAGAGAGAGGAAGAAGGAAAAAAAGUAAGAAUAUGAGUUUAGAAGUUAUGAAACUCAGCAUCCGUAUACUUUAGAAUUUUUUUAAAUUUUGUAUGAAAACAUACUAAUAUGGUUUGGCUGUGUCCCCAUCCAAAUCUCAUCCUGAAUUGUAGCUUCCAUAAUUACCAAGUGUCAUGGAAGGGACCUGGUGGGAGGUAACUGAAUCAUGGGGGUGGGUUUUUCCCAUGCUGUUCUCAUGAUAGUGAAUAAGUUUCCCACGAUCUGAUGGUUUUACAAAGGGGAGAGCCCCUGCACAUGCUCUCUUGCCAGCUGAAAUGUAAGAUGUGACUUUGCUUCUCCUUUACUUUCC